AGCGUAUUAAAUAUUAAGAUGUUUUAAAACAGAAAGAACUUAAAGUGAUGAAAAUAGAAAGGUUCUUAAGCGUCUAUAAUAUAAAAUAAUUUUAAUACAGUACAUAAAUCCCAACGAUUUAUCAGUUAUAUAGAGAGAAAAACAUAAUAUCAAACUAUUUUAUUUUAUUAUUUAUUAUUAAUAGAACAUAGCAACAGAGUCGGAACUAAAGCCUCAUUACAAGGUCUAAAUCAAAAUUGAAUACACUUUGGAAUUAUCAAUGAUGAUAUUUGCAUAUUUUAGACCACAUAACUGGAUAUCCGUAUAUAAUAAUCAGACGUUAUCAUCAUCUAAAACGAAUUAUUGCAACCAACAUGUACCAAAUACACCGAAAAAAGCAAUGCACGGUGAAAAAUUGGUCAUAAAUAUUCAUCUAAAUAAUUCGUGAAAGAUAAAAACAUUAUUAUGAAAGAUUUAAUUGAGUGUUUAAGAGUAUACAAAUCUAUUUUCAUCUAUGCUUUAAGCUAAAUAGAAGAAAAAAUAUCAAACAUAGACAUAGAAAAGAUGCCAAAUAACCAUAACAGGAGUGUAAGCAUUUAACUAAGGGCACAAUGGGAAUUAAUGAUUUUCUGAAUUUAACCAGUAUAAUAUUCAGAAAUUGGUUAAUUAUUUUGGGCAGUAGAAGAGAUAAAUCGUUUCGGUUGUCAGGAUUUAAUUUUAUCCGGUCUUUCGUGGCCAAUAAAACGACACCAUACUUUUCAGUGGUAUAACAAUAAAUAUGUUCAGCAGACCCACGCUUUUAUUUGCAUAACCAACCUAACAGAUUUCCAAUGACAUAAUAAGAAAAUAAGUGGGAAAAAAAGAACAUUACUUAAUAUUUGUCGAUGACAUAUGCAGAAAAGUCAGGGUUCACUACGUACAAAAAUUAUGCUUUUGUACCCUGUAAUUCUGUACAAAGUAUGCCGACUGUAUCAGUCUCAUACCUAUGUGAAUUCUGUAAAAAAAAUAAAUGUAUCUUGAUAUUGUAAAUCUUUUCUAUCAUUUUUUUAAAUAUUUAUUUUGAUUACUUUUUUUUUCUGUUUAAAUUGUUAAAUCUGGGUUAUAUAGGUUUUUUUUCCCCCUGUUCGGCUACUUUUCUCAAAAGUAUGACGGACAACGAUUCGAGAAAACCACUCAAAAACAAGUUAAAACUUAUAUUAAAAACAUAUUCCGUAUAUCAUUUUUAUAGUACAUUAUAUUAUCAAACAACAACAAGCAUGACGAAUUGUAAAAAUAUACGUUUGUAUAUCUCAACUAAAAAUAUUUCGAUAACUCAUUACAAUAAAUUAUAUGUCUAUUUUAUUAAUCUAUUUAUAAAAAUAUG
Molecule: long non-coding RNA, 1342 nt
Filed under: Androctonus crassicauda
Lineage: Eukaryota; Metazoa; Arthropoda; Arachnida; Scorpiones; Buthidae
Source: RNAcentral